This 507-nucleotide ribosomal RNA is filed under the name uncultured bacterium. Its description in RNAcentral is "partial 16S ribosomal RNA". It matches the Rfam family "Bacterial small subunit ribosomal RNA", at positions 28 to 507 of the family's 1533-position model. The record is from RNAcentral.
GACGAACGCUGGCGGCGUGCCUAAUACAUGCAAGUCGAACGCUUCUUUCCUCCCGAGUGCUUGCACUCAAUUGGAAAGAGGAGUGGCGGACGGGUGAGUAACACGUGGGUAACCUACCCAUCAGAGGGGGAUAACACUUGGAAACAGGUGCUAAUACCGCAUAACAGUUUAUGCCGCAUGGCAUAAGAGUGAAAGGCGCUUUCGGGUGUCGCUGAUGGAUGGACCCGCGGUGCAUUAGCUAGUUGGUGAGGUAACGGCUCACCAAGGCCACGAUGCAUAGCCGACCUGAGAGGGUGAUCGGCCACACUGGGACUGAGACACGGCCCAGACUCCUACGGGAGGCAGCAGUAGGAAUCUUCGGCAAUGGACGAAAGUCUGACCGAGCAACGCCGCGUGAGUGAAGAAGGUUUUCGGAUCGUAAAACUCUGUUGUUAGAGAAGAACAAGGACGUUAGUAACUGAACGUCCCCUGACGGUAUCUAACCAGAAAGCCACGGCUAACUACGUG